This is a long non-coding RNA of Clupea harengus (Atlantic herring), 434 nucleotides long. RefSeq lists it as uncharacterized. NCBI's taxonomy places the organism in Eukaryota, Metazoa, Chordata, Actinopteri, Clupeiformes, Clupeidae. The record is from RefSeq and is a predicted model, not a curated record. The transcript is spliced from 2 exons.
UUUGCGCAGUAGAAAAAAAUUGAUACAUUUAUUUAAUGAGAACAUAUUUGCUCCGUAUCAAAUCAUUUCAAAUGGUCUCACAGGCUCAAGCACUCUCCUCAAUUUCCCCCCAAAUUCACCCUUAAAGCCGGGCAGUCUGUUCAUGUAUGCUUCACUGUUUGCCAGUGUUUUUACAUUGACGUUUGGUGAAAGACUGGUCCACCUCGGUGGUCCUCCUCCGUGGGUGAACAGAUCUGGGCAGCUAACGGAGGCGGCUCCCACAACCCCCCCACUGACCUGGUGUGGAAGACCCAGAACUCCUGGGGCAGCGUAGACCUGUUCCACACCACCCUCAUCAGUGCCAGCGGAGAGGAAAUGGCCACGAGGAAGAUCACAUGAACUCUAUUCCAGGAUGAGGAGGAGGAGGAGAUGGGAAUUUUUUGGAGCUGUCUUUU